AGUGAACGCUGGCGGUAGGCCUAACACAUGCAAGUCGAACGACAGCACAGUAAGAGCGUGCUCUUACGGGUGGCGAGGGGCGGACGGGUGAGGAAUACAUCGGAAUCUACUUUUUCGUGGGGGAUAACGGAGGGAAAGAUACGCUAAUACCGCAUACUACCUACGGGUGAAAGCAGUGGAUAUUCGUACCUUUCGCGACUGAAUGAGCCGAUGUCGGAUUAGAUCGUUGGGUGGGUAAAGGCCCACCAAGGCGACGAUCCGUAGCGGGGCUGAGAGGAUGACCCGCCCACCUGGAACUGGGACACCGUCCCGACUCCUACGGGAGGCCACAGUGGGGAAUAUUGGCGCAUGGGCGGAAGCCUUGUCCAGCCAUCCCGCGUGGGUGAAGAAGGCCUUCCGGUUCUAAAGCCCUUUUGUUGGGAAAGAAAAGCAGCAGGUUAAUACCCCGCUGUCCUGACGGUACCCAAAGAAUAAGCACCGGCUAACUUCGUG
Molecule: ribosomal RNA, 492 nt
Filed under: uncultured bacterium
Lineage: Bacteria
Description: partial 16S ribosomal RNA
Rfam family: Bacterial small subunit ribosomal RNA
Source: RNAcentral